CCUACGGGCGGCUGCAGUAGGGAAUUUUGCGCAAUGGGGGAAACCCUGACGCAGCAACGCCAUGUGUGGGAUGAAGCAUUUCGGUGUGUAAACCACUGUCGGCAGGGAAUAAAGCCCGCGUUUACGCGGGGGUGAAUGUACCUGCAGAGGAAGCCCCGGCUAACUUCGUGCCAGCAGCCGCGGUAAUACGAGGGGGGCAAGUGUUGUUCGGAAUCACUGGGCGUAAAGGGAGCGUAGGCGGACGUUUAAGUCGGGUGUUUAAAACCGGGGCCCAACCCCGGAGCGGCACUCGAAACUGGGCGUCUUGAAUGGGACAGAGGCUGGUGGAAUUGGGGGUGUAGCGGUGGAAUGCGUAGAGAUCCCCAAGAACACCGAUUGCGAAGGCAGCCAGCUGGGUCCACAUUGACGCUGAGGCUCGAAAGCAUGGGGAGCAAACAGGAUUAGAUACCCUAGUAGUC
This 458-nucleotide ribosomal RNA is filed under the name Weissella confusa. Its description in RNAcentral is "bacterial SSU rRNA". It matches the Rfam family "Bacterial small subunit ribosomal RNA", at positions 338 to 795 of the family's 1533-position model. Lineage: Bacteria; Bacillati; Bacillota; Bacilli; Lactobacillales; Lactobacillaceae. The record is from RNAcentral.